Hirundo rustica (Barn swallow) is the source of this 333-nucleotide long non-coding RNA. RefSeq lists it as uncharacterized. The record is from RefSeq and is a predicted model, not a curated record. Lineage: Eukaryota; Metazoa; Chordata; Aves; Passeriformes; Hirundinidae. The transcript has 4 exons.
UUAAAGAAAUGAAACAGCAUAUCCAUCCAUUCUUGGAUUAAAUCUAUGGGAUUUUACUUAUUCGCCCCCACAGGCACACCUGAGCUACUAAAAAGGGGAAAGAAAGAAAGGGGAGGGAAGAAGAUUAGAGCAGAACACUGCCUGCAGUGUCAUCAUUUCCUCCCAACAGGAUCAAAAACUUCAAAAAUUUGGAAAUAAUCCAAUUACUCCUGACUUACCUUAUAAAUGAGAUAUGAAAAUACAUGCAAAGAAGUGGUUCUAGGAGCAAAUGCUAUACAAGUACCUCCAUUAAAAUAUACCAAGAGGUGAGAUCUAGCAAAUGAAAGUUUUCUU